RNAcentral lists this ribosomal RNA (490 nucleotides) under uncultured bacterium. RNAcentral describes it as "bacterial SSU rRNA". It matches the Rfam family "Bacterial small subunit ribosomal RNA", at positions 29 to 519 of the family's 1533-position model. The record is from RNAcentral.
AGCGAACGUUUGCGGCGGGCCUAACACAUGCAAGUCGAACGCACUAGCAAUAGUGAGUGGCGCACGGGUGCGUAACACGUGGGUAAUCAACCCUUCAGCUUGGGAUAACGACUUGAAAGGGUCGCUAAUACCGGAUACGGCGAGAGAGGCUUCGGCAUUUCUCGAGAAAGCCUCGCAAGGGGCACUGAAGGACGAGCCUGCGGCCCAUCAGCUAGUUGGUGAGGUAAGAGCUCACCAAGGCGAAGACGGGUAGCUGGUCUGAGAGGAUGAUCAGCCACACUGGAACUGAGACACGGUCCAGACUCCUACGGGAGGCAGCAGUGGGGAAUAUUGCGCAAUGGGCGAAAGCCUGACGCAGCCACGCCGCGUGAGCGAUGAAGGCCUUGGUCGUAAAGCUCUGUGGGGAGAGACGAAGAAAGACCCGUGAAGAGCGGGCCGUUGACGGUAGUCUCCUUAGCAAGCACCAGCUAACUCCGUGCCAGCAGCCGCG